This 496-nucleotide ribosomal RNA is filed under the name uncultured bacterium. RNAcentral's name for it is "bacterial SSU rRNA". It matches the Rfam family "Bacterial small subunit ribosomal RNA", at positions 28 to 518 of the family's 1533-position model. The record is from RNAcentral.
GAUGAACGCUAGCGGCAGGCUUAACACAUGCAAGUCGAGGGGCAGCACGAUGUAGCAAUACAUGGGUGGCGACCGGCGCACGGGUGCGUAACACGUAUGGAAUCUGCCCUUUACUGGGGGAUAGCCCGGAGAAAUCCGGAUUAAUACCCCAUAACAAUCGAGGUGGCAUCACCUUGAUUUGAAAGCUCCGGCGGUAAAGGAUGACCAUGCGCACGAUUAGCUAGUUGGUGAGGUAACGGCUCACCAAGGCUACGAUCGUUAGGGGGCCUGAGAGGGUUAUCCCCCACACUGGUACUGAGACACGGACCAGACUCCUACGGGAGGCAGCAGUGAGGAAUAUUGCGCAAUGGAGGCAACUCUGACGCAGCCAUGCCGCGUGCAGGAAGAAGGCGCUACGCGUUGUAAACUGCUUUUAACCGGGAAGAACCCCAGGACGUGUCCUGGGUUGACGGUACCGGAGGAAUAAGCACCGGCUAACUUCGUGCCAGCAGCCGAC